This 377-nucleotide ribosomal RNA is filed under the name uncultured bacterium. RNAcentral's name for it is "bacterial SSU rRNA". It matches the Rfam family "Bacterial small subunit ribosomal RNA", at positions 521 to 896 of the family's 1533-position model. The record is from RNAcentral.
UAAUACAGAGGGUGCAAGCGUUGUUCGGAAUUACUGGGCGUAAAGCGCGUGUAGGCUGCGGAAUAAGUCGGAUGUGAAAGCCCUCAGCUUAACUGAGGAAGUGCAUCCGAUACUGUCUCGCUUGAGUGUCGGAGGGGAUGGCGGAAUUCCCGGUGUAGAGGUGAAAUUCGUAGAUAUCGGGAGGAACACCUGUGGCGAAGGCGGCCAUCUGGACGACGACUGACGCUGAGACGCGAAAGCGUGGGUAGCAAACAGGAUUAGAUACCCUGGUAGUCCACGCUGUAAACGAUGAGUGCUAGACGUCACGGGUAUUGACCCCUGUGGUGUCGAAGUUAACACGUUAAGCACUCCGCCUGGGGAGUACGGUCGCAAGAUUA